UUCGACUCGAGCGCCAGCGAGAGAACGUUGCCAAGGGCAACGGCCCGAAGGGCGAGGAGCGAUAGCGACGAGUUAUCCUUCCCCCACCACCA
RNAcentral lists this small RNA (92 nucleotides) under Klebsiella variicola. Its description in RNAcentral is "partial RtT sRNA". It matches the Rfam family "RtT RNA", at positions 42 to 130 of the family's 130-position model. Rfam says of the family: This family represents a bacterial cis-regulatory element known as RtT RNA. The exact function of RtT is unknown although it is thought that it may be involved in changing the cellular response in relation to amino acid starvation. Lineage: Bacteria; Pseudomonadati; Pseudomonadota; Gammaproteobacteria; Enterobacterales; Enterobacteriaceae. The record is from RNAcentral.